AGCCCUGGGGUGUUUACACAUUAAAUUGCAAGUUUAAAGUAGGACUCGGAUGAGUCCCGGGGCUU
This 65-nucleotide transfer RNA is filed under the name Sceloporus maculosus. RNAcentral's name for it is "tRNA-Cys". Lineage: Eukaryota; Metazoa; Chordata; Lepidosauria; Squamata; Phrynosomatidae. The record is from RNAcentral.